AGCGAACGCUGGCGGCAGGCUUAACACAUGCAAGUCGAACGCCCGUAGCAAUACGGGAGUGGCAGACGGGUGAGUAACACGUGGGAACGUGCCCUUCAGUUCGGAACAACCCAGGGAAACUUGGGCUAAUACCGGAUACGUCCGUAAGGAGAAAGAUUUAUCGCUGAAGGAUCGGCCCGCGUCUGAUUAGCUAGUUGGUGAGGUAACGGCUCACCAAAGGCGACGAUCAGUAGCUGGUCNGAGAGGACGAUCAGCCACACUGGGACUGAGAC
Molecule: ribosomal RNA, 272 nt
Filed under: uncultured bacterium
Lineage: Bacteria
Description: partial 16S ribosomal RNA
Rfam family: Bacterial small subunit ribosomal RNA
Source: RNAcentral